Molecule: antisense RNA, 72 nt
Filed under: Actinoplanes awajinensis subsp. mycoplanecinus
Lineage: Bacteria; Bacillati; Actinomycetota; Actinomycetes; Micromonosporales; Micromonosporaceae
Description: ASpks TB sRNA
Rfam family: ASpks TB sRNA
Source: Rfam by way of RNAcentral
CUUCACCGAGCCCAGCCACAGCGGCCCGUCGGCACGGUCCUGGCCGUAGGUGGCCAGCAGCGCCUGCGCCUC